UAUAUUUUAAUUUUGAUACAGAAUACAGCAGAAAAAUAAACUUGACUUUGAUAUUAUCAUGUCUGAUUUACAAUAAAUAGCACUAAUAAUUAUUCAAUUACAGACACACAUAAAAAUGGCCAAAUGACAAAGGAUACAACCACUAUAAAAUAAUGAUCACAAUAAUAAACUUAUUAGAACAAAACCUGUUAAAAUCAAGAAUAUAGAGGAGAUAAAAAUCCAUUUAAAAAUGACAGGAUGUUGACGGCUCAUAGCAGAGAUGUGCGUAGGUACUUGAGCUCACACACAGUAGCCAAAGAACAAAUGUUUAUGGCUGUUAGUGUUCAGAGCAAGUGUACAAGCGACAUCAAAUGUUUAUAAUCUAUGAUAGUGUAAACCAUUUCACUGAUUUCAUGCUGAACUGCAGGUUAAGGACAGUGUCCACAGUAACAGUGGGGGAGAUUUCUGGGGUUUCCUGAUGCUUGACUGGAUAUCUGGAGCCUUCUAGUAGUUCACAGAUACUGUAAGUGUUUCCAGUUGGUAUUCUGAAAAUGUUUAUGUGCUUUUGUCAAACACAACAUUGGCAUUUCCUUUGUGCAAAUUCUCUUUGAUUCCUAACAAUGAGGCCUUUAAACCUGCACUUCACAACCAAAAAAACAACAGUAUAUCUCUAGCAAAUACCUAAAUAGUCAAAUAAAAAAAAAAUUAGUUGAACACCAGUGGAAUCAAACACAGUAUGACUGUGCCACAUCUCCCUGAAUCAACCUUUCACUCACAUUCUGUACUGG
Molecule: long non-coding RNA, 767 nt
Organism: Sinocyclocheilus rhinocerous
Lineage: Eukaryota; Metazoa; Chordata; Actinopteri; Cypriniformes; Cyprinidae
Exons: 2
Source: RefSeq, a predicted model, not a curated record